RNAcentral lists this ribosomal RNA (497 nucleotides) under uncultured bacterium. RNAcentral describes it as "partial 16S ribosomal RNA". It matches the Rfam family "Bacterial small subunit ribosomal RNA", at positions 28 to 507 of the family's 1533-position model. The record is from RNAcentral.
GAUGAACGCUGGCGGCGUGCCUAAUACAUGCAAGUCGAGCGAACAGACGAGGAGCUUGCUCCUCUGACGUUAGCGGCGGACGGGUGAGUAACACGUGGAUAACCUACCUAUAAGACUGGGAUAACUUCGGGAAACCGGAGCUAAUACCGGAUAAUAUAUUGAACCGCAUGGUUCAAUAGUGAAAGACGGUUUUGCUGUCACUUAUAGAUGGAUCCGCGCCGCAUUAGCUAGUUGGUAAGGUAACGGCUUACCAAGGCAACGAUGCGUAGCCGACCUGAGAGGGUGAUCGGCCACACCGGAACUGAGACACGGUCCAGACUCCUACGGGAGGCAGCAGUAGGGAAUCUUCCGCAAUGGGCGAAAGCCUGACGGAGCAACGCCGCGUGAGUGAUGAAGGUCUUCGGAUCGUAAAACUCUGUUAUUAGGGAAGAACAAAUGUGUAAGUAGCUAUGCACGUCUUGACGGUACCUAAUCAGAAAGCCACGGCUAACUACGUG